GGUAGUCCACGCCGUAAACGUUGGGCGCUAGGUGUGGGGGCCAUUCCACGGUCUCCGUGCCGCAGCUAACGCAUUAAGCGCCCCGCCUGGGGAGUACGGCCGCAGGGCUAAAACUCAAAGGAAUUGACGGGGCCCGCACAAGCGGCGGAGCAUGUUGCUUAAUUCGAUGCAACGCGAAGAACCUUACCUAGGCUUGACAUGCACGGAAAUCUCGUAGAGAUACGGGGGUGCCUUUGGCGUCGUGCACAGGUGGUGCAUGGUUGUCGUCAGCUCGUGUCGUGAGAUGUUGGGUUAAG
Molecule: ribosomal RNA, 296 nt
Filed under: uncultured bacterium
Lineage: Bacteria
Description: partial 16S ribosomal RNA
Rfam family: Bacterial small subunit ribosomal RNA
Source: RNAcentral